RNAcentral lists this ribosomal RNA (253 nucleotides) under uncultured bacterium. Its description in RNAcentral is "partial 16S ribosomal RNA". It matches the Rfam family "Bacterial small subunit ribosomal RNA", at positions 524 to 776 of the family's 1533-position model. The record is from RNAcentral.
UACGAAGGGUGCAAGCGUUACUCGGAAUUACUGGGCGUAAAGCGCGCGUAGGUGGUGAGUUAAGUCUGAUGUGAAAUCCCCGGGCUCAACCUGGGAAUGGCAUUGGAUACUGGCUGGCUAGAGUGCGGUAGAGGGUGGUGGAAUUCCCGGUGUAGCGGUGAAAUGCGUAGAGAUCGGGAGGAACAUCUGUGGCGAAGGCGGCCACCUGGACCAACACUGACACUGAGGCACGAAAGCGUGGGGAGCAAACAGG